CCAGAUUGUGAAGAGCUGUAAAUACCAAACAAAGGACUUUAUAUUUGAGCCUGGAGGUAAUAGAGAGCCAUUGAAAUUUAUUUAGAAGGACAAGAUUAAAAAAUGUGCAUACAAGACAGCCAUGUUGGUUCUCAUCAGAAAAGAGCAGAUGAUUUCAAUUUAAAUACAGCAUGCAUAAAGCAGUUUCCAGUUCAGUACAACAGCCAGGCUGAAGAAUUAGGUCACCUCCUUUCUUGCAGAAAAUAUAUUCUAUAUACCAGAAGACAUCAUCCCAGGAAGCUAUCCUUGUGAAGAUAUGUUCUGGCAAUUGCUUCUGUGGGUUUUAGAGCCUCUUGCCUUCUCAGAAUCCAGAGCUACUGAAGACCCACAAAAUAAAAUUUUUA
Sarcophilus harrisii (Tasmanian devil) is the source of this 383-nucleotide long non-coding RNA. RefSeq lists it as uncharacterized. Lineage: Eukaryota; Metazoa; Chordata; Mammalia; Dasyuromorphia; Dasyuridae. The transcript has 3 exons. The record is from RefSeq and is a predicted model, not a curated record.